Molecule: long non-coding RNA, 407 nt
Organism: Drosophila bipectinata
Lineage: Eukaryota; Metazoa; Arthropoda; Insecta; Diptera; Drosophilidae
Source: RefSeq, a predicted model, not a curated record
CACCUGAACCCUCCGGUAAAUAAAUAUUAAGGAAUGAUAAUUAGGAGGUCUAGCAACCCUCCGCCAGACGGACGUUACAAUCGCGCACAGUGUGAAGUGAUCGUUUGGCUAUCUAAGUGAUGUCAUCCAAGGGUGGCUUCUCAACCCAAAAAACAAAGAACCUGCUAGGAUAUUCAUAAGUCUACCCCUGGACUCGCUUGAGGAGAUCGCAACCGUUGUAGCAAGUUGCCGAAGAUGCGCCGCGCCCUAAUUAGUGGCGGGCAAAAGCCUCGGUGCCAGCCUUAAAGAAAGCAAUUCUCGAAAGGGGAAAGGAAGCGAGCACUUGAUCUCAAGGACCACAUUAUAAUGGAAAACGAGUCGCUGGAGGAAAAGGGGAGUCCCUCAGCCGGAUGGUGAAAUCAAAUGAG